GAGAAAGUAUGCCUUUUAGAAACAAGGGUGGUAUCCAGUAAUUUUGUGGCUGACAGUAGACCUGGCUUCAGACAAAAUUGAGAAAUGACUUUCUCUUAAUUUGGUCCUUUGGCCCUUCCGUUCCUUUUAUUGUAUAUUUCUAAUGGCCAUGUGUAUGUGAAUUGCUCAUAACAUUAACUUUGUAUUAUAUUACUACAGUCCUAAGUACUAUAUAUCAACUCAGUCUUUUGUAGCUCUUGUAUCAGAGUCACAUGCAUGAUUGUCAAGAAUUAGAAAAAGCUUGUUAAAAGUAGCAGUGGUAAAAAUGGUUUUAAAAGAUACAAUGGAGAUGGGUCAUAGAUGACCUUAGAUG
Molecule: long non-coding RNA, 352 nt
Filed under: Bos taurus (domestic cattle)
Lineage: Eukaryota; Metazoa; Chordata; Mammalia; Artiodactyla; Bovidae
Description: long non-coding RNA NONBTAT027000
Source: RNAcentral